UACCGAGGCGUCCUUGGCGCGAGCUGUUUGUGUGGUGUCUUCACCGCCGCCCGCCCCCUGCUCCAGUCCUCGUAGCCUUCCCGGCCCGCCGUUCAGUCAAAACCCGGACUGGAUUUAUUUCCCGACCCACGCUCUCUGAAAAUCUGCCCGCUUCCUAGCAGUUGGCCGGGACACGGAGGCCGCCGUUGCCCCUGGGGCCCACGACUCCCUCUGGUGGGGAGAGCGUAGGCUCAGCCAGGAAGAAGGUGUUGGGUUAAGAGAUUGGCUGAGAGUGGUUCUCUGAUCGAUGGCGACCGCACGGGAGCUUCAGUGGAGUCCAGAAAGGCUAACACAGUCGGAACAUCACAAGUUCAAGGCCAGCCUACUGGACUACAGGGGUGGUCCUGACUACACCUAUUCAAGCAUGAACAAAGCAAAACAAGAAGUGUGCAUAUGUUUACAUCAAAACAGACUUAAGAAACCACGGAACACAGUGUGAAACUAAAAUUGGAACACGCAGUGAGCCAGGUUUCCUUCCUCUGAAAGUGUUUCCUUCUGCUUCUGUUCUGUUGUGCCUUUGGUGCUGAUCCACAGGGACGAGGUCGGCUUAGAGCAAGUGCUACUCCUGCUCUGUAACCGCUGACAACUUGCCAUCUCUUGUCUGGGUUCCCGUGAUCCACAACUUCUGGGAACCUCAGGAAUGAUCUCAGUUGAUGACUGUCACCACUCCGUAUGAAGACUCGAUGAAGGGUAAAAGCGUGGCUCGUCUCACAGCUUUCUACGACAGCCUGACUCAAACUCACAGUUUCACAUGACAGUUUCUUCUUGUUUUCAUACGGGACCUUUCUGGUGCAGUGAGCCCUACUCAUGGCAGAGCCAAGCCAGAAGGUAGACCAUUUUGGGGAAACUCAGGCGCGGACGGUGCUGAGCCGGAGAGCGGAAGGACUAGAACAGUGACACAGUGACAUGGCAAUCAUCGUGCUGUGCGAGGCAGUGACAGUGGCUGUGGCCCCACAGGGGGUCGUCAUCCUCACAGAGGACAUCACGCACAGGAGUUGCUGAUCCUAUGGCAUCUCUUCACAGCAACAGAAACCCUAAGUAAGACAUCCCUCUUAAACUGACAGCAGCCGUAAUUACCUGGAGGAGACAAGGACAAAAUUGAGCCCCGGAACAUUCCUGAGGCCCUGCUCCUUCCACCUCCCACCUGGACACCCGAAGAUGCAUAAACUGUUAGUGGUGGAUGGUGGAAAGAGAUGCUUAGGUGGUGCAGCUACUCACAAAUUGUCCAUGAUCCUAUAAGUAAUCAACCAUGCUCUUGUAGGAAGCCCCGAUAGACUCCUUGGUCUGUUGUUGAUGCCCUCACUGGGGAGAGCUGACCUUUUGUUAGUAUGGCUGCAUGGUGGCACAAGCCUAUAGUCCUAGCACUUCUGGCAGAGAGAGCCAAGUGGAUUAAGAGUUGAAAGUUAAUGUUGAGGUCCAUGAUCCGUGCUGCCACCGAAGGCCGUGUGGAUGUCUGUGAUCAGGGCUGCAGCCGGUAGCCAUGUUGAUGUCUGUGGUCUGUGCAGCCGCUGGAAGCCAUGCUGAGGCCUGGAUUCUGUGCUGCCGCCAGCAGCUAUGGGCAGGGAAGCUUCUUUUGCAGUGGUGUUGAUGACUCGGACUCAUAACUGAGAAUGAGAGACGCUGAAGGCUGCUGUGACAAUCCCCUCAACCA
Non-coding RNA from Myodes glareolus (Bank vole), 1690 nucleotides. Lineage: Eukaryota; Metazoa; Chordata; Mammalia; Rodentia; Cricetidae. The record is from RefSeq and is a predicted model, not a curated record.